UAGGGAAUAUUAGUAAUGGGCGAAAGUCUGAUCUAGCAACACCGCGUGUGCGAAGAAGGCCUUCGGGUUGUAAAGCACUUUUUGGAAGGAUUAGGAAGGAAUGUACUUCCAGAAUAAGUCUCGGCUAACUACGUGCCAGCAGCCGCGGUAACACGUAGGAGGCGAACGUUAUCCGGAUUUACUGGGCGUAAAGCGCGUGUAGGUGGUUCUGUAAGUAGGGCGUGAAAGCUCCUGGCUCAACUGGGAGAGGCCGUUCUAAACUACAGAACUAGAGGAUGGUAGAGGGAGGUGGAAUUCCAGGUGUAGCGGUGGAAUGCGCAGAUAUCUGGAGGAACACCAGUGGCGAAGGCGGCCUCCUGGACCACUCCUGACACUCAGACGCGAAAGCUAGGGUAGCAAACG
Molecule: ribosomal RNA, 402 nt
Filed under: uncultured prokaryote
Description: bacterial SSU rRNA
Rfam family: Bacterial small subunit ribosomal RNA
Source: RNAcentral